This 463-nucleotide ribosomal RNA is filed under the name uncultured bacterium. RNAcentral's name for it is "partial 16S ribosomal RNA". It matches the Rfam family "Bacterial small subunit ribosomal RNA", at positions 28 to 507 of the family's 1533-position model. The record is from RNAcentral.
GGCGAACGCUGGCGGCGUGCUUAACACAUGCAAGUCGAACGGAAAGGCCUUUUCGGCGGUACUCGAGUGGCGAACGGGUGAGUAACACGUGGGUGAUCUGCCCUGCACUCUGGGAUAAGCCUGGGAAACUGGGUCUAAUACCGGAUAGGACCGCACUUUAGUGUGUGUGGUGGAAAGUUUUUUCGGUGUAGGAUGAGCCCGCGGCCUAUCAGCUUGUUGGUGGGGUAAUGGCCUACCAAGGCGGCGACGGGUAGCCGGACUGAGAGGUUGGUCGGCCACAUUGGGACUGAGAUACGGCCCAGACUCCUACGGGAGGCAGCAGUGGGGAAUAUUGCACAAUGGGCGCAAGCCUGAUGCAGCGACGCCGCGUGGGGGAUGACGGCCUUCGGGUUGUAAACUCCUUUCGCCAGGGACGAAGCGUUUUGUGACGGUACCUGGAGAAGAAGCACCGGCUAACUACGUG